UGCAAUAUACAAGCUUCCAAGCUUGGCGGAGUACUUGGCUAUGAUUUCUCCGAGUCUCAACAAGUUACAAGGAUUAUUAAAUGCAUGUUGGAUUAACUUUUACAGAUGGCUAGCUUUUGUCUGACUGAGAUUAUGGAUGUUACAGAACCAUCACUGGGAUUUGAGGGAGUUGAUGUGAACACCCAAGUUAUGGUAAUUUCUGAAUUAUUGUUGUUCAGCUUUAUUAGCUUUUCCUACUUCAACCUCUAAAGUUCUUACCUCAAGGACAAUAUUACUUGGCCUAAUGCCACUUUCUUUCAUCAACAUAAGCUUUUCUAAAUUCU
This 323-nucleotide long non-coding RNA is filed under the name Panax ginseng (ginseng). RNAcentral's name for it is "long non-coding RNA (PGIN_LNC010771)". Lineage: Eukaryota; Viridiplantae; Streptophyta; Magnoliopsida; Apiales; Araliaceae. The record is from RNAcentral.